Non-coding RNA from Heterocephalus glaber (naked mole-rat), 1948 nucleotides. The record is from RefSeq and is a predicted model, not a curated record. NCBI's taxonomy places the organism in Eukaryota, Metazoa, Chordata, Mammalia, Rodentia, Bathyergidae.
UCCCAAUAAGGAAGCCGGGGCGCGGGAACUGGCUGGACCCGCCCAGGCGAACUCGGGGUCCCCGGGGCAUCGGGGAUGGCGCCCGGCCUGCGCCUGUCGCCCCCCCCCACGCCAAGGUCAAGGUCAAGGUCAAGAUGCAGAUUUAUUUUCUGUUUGCGGUUGGUAGAAUCCUCGCAUGUGAAACUCGCAGGUACUGGGGCCCGCUGGACACUUGGACCUCGCACUGUGGUCCUGGCAGCAGUGAACAACAGUGAAUUAGCGCAAGAAACAACGUAGAGAAGGAGCGAAGAUCUAGGAACCUAAACAGGGCAGAGUUUAGGAGCCCAGAGCUCAGAAGCCUCCAGAAACCGCUGCUUCCCUAGGGUGGAAGAACGAUGGAGACCACUGCGAGAGGAAGAAGGAUGGAGGUAACACCAGCCAGCAGCAGACAGGGCUGAGGAUGCCCGGAGGCUCCCUUCCUCCUCGCUGGCUCCGGUCAUGGCCUCCCAUUGGCCGGCCUUACCGGAAUUGGUUGCAAGGCAGCCUGGGAAAUGUAGUCCCGAGCCCGGCUGCAGUGUGGCAAAGCAAGGAGCAGAGUGAUGCCAACAGGAAAUGCCAGCCAGGCUCGCUACGGUGGGGCGCGGUGGGGAUGGGACGCCCCGCCCUACCCGAAGGUGUCAGCUCACGUCUUGGUCUGAUCUGCACAGCAAUGGAGGGAGAGCAACAAGGGGAAGACUCUGCCACCCUUUCCCAGCAGGAGGAGACAGCAGGACAAUGACCUAUGCUCUGGGCCCCACCCUUGACCUUCCUGGCGCACCGUUCUCGGUGGCCCUACCAUCUGAGCUGGAACUCAGACUCCCUGUUAGCAAGAGCAAAGCUCCCGCCCCGUGGGGAGGAGACAGUCACGCCGCAGCUGCAGGUCCCGGUCCCACGCCCUUCCACCAUGCCGCCCUGUUGUGUGCGUCACUCGUCACUCGCUCCAUGCUUUUCCCAGCCCCCAAAGACAGGCGCCGAGGGUAUUCCCAGAAAACCCAGAAAAAAUUACAGCCAAAAAAAACGUGCCGCAGGUGUCCCCCUGUAACCGAAUCAAGUCAAAGUCCUGAAACAGAGAACUGAGAACCUCCCAGAAGGUCUGGGUGUGCGGCUUAUCUGCUUCAGGCUAAAUUAGACCUGCAGGCCCCCAUCAUUUCCCUAAGUGAUGUAGAUCUUAAAAAAACAAGCUUCUGUAUGUUUGCUAUGUACAAAAUCAUACAGCAUCACUGUACCUGCUUUCAUUUAAUAAUUCCCAGAAUUCAAUAUUGUAAGAGUUUCAUGUGGCAUUGUAUUUCAGAGGAAGAAAUGGAGGAUCAGAGAGGUAGGGCAACCUACCCUGGGACACAAAGCUUGUCAAUGAGCUAUUCCCCCACGAUGGAGGAACCAAUGUCAGGUGUGCAUGCUCAUGGUGUCUGAAUAACCCCGGUAUCGUCCAAGCCACCGUCCAUGUCAUCACAAUUGGCAGUUGUCACGAGACAGAGUCAGAACACACCCACAGGGGUAAAGUGGAAGGGCAGAUGUCUGUCUGGCUCCCCCUGCCUUUCUUAGUGAAAAUGUCACAUCAUGAAGGGUCUGCAGAGCUCUCCAGCCCAGCCCCAGGUCACAUGCAAUCCUGGAGGAGCCAGGUGACUUGGCCAAGGCCACACAGCUGGUGAGGUGGAACCCACCCCAGCCCAGGUACAGCUGCAAGCCUGUUUCUUAGCCUGUUUCCUCUCUGCCCAUGUCUGCCACAGAGUUUCAGUGGUUCAAACCCAGAGGGCCAGGUGGGGAGGGUUUAGUUUUCACAUCUUCACAGGCUACUGGCUCAAUUUUUACUCUUGAACUAAAAGUGGAAAAUUAUUGUUUGCUUUAAGACAUGGCUAUCUCUCUUCCCACCUCAAAUGCAUUAGCACCUUGCUGUCCCACCAAAAAAUAAAAUAAUUAUUCUACCAGUCAA